UCUCCCUCCUCUUCCAAAUUCAUUAAAAGCAGCACCGUGAAGGCAGUCCCGCAGAUAGGACUGGAAGUGGGUUGGACCGUCAGGAGACCCAUCGGGCCGGCCCUCGGACUCGACCCCAAACCAUUUAGGCCAGGCUCUAGCCAAAAAAAUAGGAUCCAUUUGGCCAUUGGGUUGGGCUCGGGCAGAUAUUUGGCCCGACCUAGAGCCGAUACGAUUGG
RNAcentral lists this long non-coding RNA (218 nucleotides) under Elaeis guineensis (African oil palm). Its description in RNAcentral is "long non-coding RNA (EGUI_LNC018213)". Lineage: Eukaryota; Viridiplantae; Streptophyta; Magnoliopsida; Arecales; Arecaceae. The record is from RNAcentral.